RNAcentral lists this long non-coding RNA (1593 nucleotides) under Nicotiana tabacum (common tobacco). Its description in RNAcentral is "long non-coding RNA (NTAB_LNC013653)". The record is from RNAcentral. Lineage: Eukaryota; Viridiplantae; Streptophyta; Magnoliopsida; Solanales; Solanaceae.
UAAUUAUAAAAAUAACAACGUAAAAGUGUUUGUGAAUGAGCAAUGUGGGUUACCGUAUGUAAACUUAUUUGUCGAGGUCAUGAUUGUAUAUUUUAUGAAUUUACAAAGAUGAAAAAUCAUAAUUUACUUAGAUAUAUGUGAUAAUUAUACUUAUCUUGAUUUUAUGAGGUACAAAGAUAAAGUGAAGUGCAUCUCAUCCAAUACUUCCAUGUGGACGAUACUCAUGGUGUAUACUCCUUUCAUCCGUUUAGGUUACUCUGUCAUAACCACAACUGUUUUUGACAUUAAUAUCCUUCUUAUAAGUAAAUAAAAUUAACUAUAUAAAACAUGUUAUGGUAGAGACAACCCAAUAUUGAGGAUUGUUUGACUGAGGGAGCUAAGCUUCUUUAAAAGAAACAAUGGCAAAACAUCAGGUGCAAAAAAAAUAUAUCAUCAUACACAACAGCCCCUUAUUCAGUCAAUUCAAUUAUUUAGAAACGGUCAUCAAAAUUUCAAAUAUUAGGAUAUUCAGUUUCUUCUACAUAAGCUAAUCAAGCAGCCCCUUUCAAAAUCCGUUCUAUUUAUACACCAUAUCCACCGGUCAAAAUGAUUUUUUUUCCUCUGAAAUCCUCUUUCAACCACCCACUAUUUGUAGCACACCAAAUUCUGGCAAGGUUCUGAAUUCGGAUAAACACAAGACUACACCUUCAGAUACAAGUCACUCUUUCAGUCUUUCUUCAGAUAUGCGGCCAAUUAACUUUAUUUACUUUACUGGCCAACAGAAAAUUUAAGCAAAAGAAUAAUAGGAACCUAAGGUCAUUAAACAAAAUUUGCAGGAAUCCACAAGCAUAUACCAUAAAUUUGCGAUCCCAGAGAAAUUAGUAAAGAGUUUGUAUAAUCCAAACAUAAUAAUAAAUGCUUUACUGCAUAAAAUUGUACAUUUUGUAGUUAGCAUUCUGAUUACAUGUCACAAAUCCCAUGUCCAACUAAUAACUCGUGUUGAGAGACUACAUAUUUUGGCUAAUGAAUAACAUUAAAGAAUAACAAAUGUAAAGGAAAAGAAAACACCAAACAAAGCCUGCAUCAUCAUUUGUUUAAACCAAAUUAAACAUACUUUUUCUCAAUUUGAGUUCAAAUUUUUUUUAGCAAAGAUAAUAAAAAAUUACUUUGAGUUUUGAUUAUUACUUAUAAUAUAAGCACAAACUUAUGGACCAUCGUUUAAAUAAAAUUAGCUGGUUGAACCAUUAGAGACCUAACUGAAUAGUAACUUCUCAUCUCAAUCCGGAUACCCCAUCCAAAGAAAAAAAAAUCAGUAAUAUAUAUACACACACAUACAUAUACUGAACUUCUAAAAGUUAAAACUCAACAAUCUCAAACUGAAUUAGAAGAAUGAAGAAGGCACAAUCGUUCUUUAAAAAUUGAGCACAAUAAAAAAUAUAAUCGUUUACCUAAAGUUUGUUUGUAUGUUUUGGCCCAAAAACAUUGUUUUGUGGAGAAGAAGAACAAGGAACGGAGGAACAACUUCAAUAACAAUCAUGUCUUUUUUUCAAAUCUGAAGCAUUGGGUAACCCGGAGUUUUUAGUAGGCGUAAGCGUUGUGUCUUUUAGUUUUGCA